RNAcentral lists this ribosomal RNA (253 nucleotides) under uncultured bacterium. Its description in RNAcentral is "partial 16S ribosomal RNA". It matches the Rfam family "Bacterial small subunit ribosomal RNA", at positions 524 to 776 of the family's 1533-position model. The record is from RNAcentral.
UACGAAGGGGGCUAGCGUUGUUCGGAAUCACUGGGCGUAAAGGGCGCGUAGGCGGCUGUUCAAGUCGGGGGUGAAAGCCUGUGGCUCAACCACAGAAUUGCCUUCGAUACUGGACGGCUGGAGACCGGAAGAGGUCAGUGGAACUGCGAGUGUAGAGGUGAAAUUCGUAGAUAUUCGCAAGAACACCAGUGGCGAAGGCGGCUGACUGGUCCGGUUCUGACGCUGAGGCGCGAAAGCGUGGGGAGCAAACAGG